RNAcentral lists this ribosomal RNA (315 nucleotides) under uncultured Alphaproteobacteria bacterium. RNAcentral describes it as "bacterial SSU rRNA". It matches the Rfam family "Bacterial small subunit ribosomal RNA", at positions 9 to 346 of the family's 1533-position model. Lineage: Bacteria; Pseudomonadati; Pseudomonadota; Alphaproteobacteria. The record is from RNAcentral.
GUAGUCUGAUCGUGGCUCAGAACGAACGCUGGCGGCAGGCUUAACACAUGCAAGUCGAACGCAUCCUUCGGGGUGAGUGGCAGACGGGUGAGUAACGCGUGGGAACGUGCCCUUCAGUUCGGGAUAACCCAGGGAAACUUGGGCUAAUACCGGGAUACGUGCGAGAGCAGAAAGAUUUAUCGCUGAAGGGAUCGGGCCCGCGGUCUUGAUUAGCUAGUUGGUGGGGUAAUGGCCCACCAAGGCGACGAUCAGUAGCUGGUCUGAGAGGAUGAUCAGCCACAUUGGGACUGAGACACGGCCCAAACUCCUACGGGA